Molecule: non-coding RNA, 80 nt
Filed under: Hyaloperonospora arabidopsidis Emoy2
Lineage: Eukaryota; Oomycota; Peronosporomycetes; Peronosporales; Peronosporaceae
Description: Eukaryotic large subunit ribosomal RNA
Rfam family: Eukaryotic large subunit ribosomal RNA
Source: Rfam by way of RNAcentral
CCCGCUGAACUUAAGCAUGUUAAUAAGCGGAGGAAAAGAAACUAACAAGGAUUCCCCUAGUAACGGCGAGUGAAGCGGGA